Molecule: ribosomal RNA, 253 nt
Filed under: uncultured bacterium
Lineage: Bacteria
Description: partial 16S ribosomal RNA
Rfam family: Bacterial small subunit ribosomal RNA
Source: RNAcentral
UACGUAGGGCGCAAGCGUUGUCCGGAAUUAUUGGGCGUAAAGAGCUCGUAGGCGGCCAGUUGCGUCCGCUGUGAAAUCCCGGGGCUUAACCCCGGGCGUGCAGUGGAUACGGGCUGGCUAGAGGCAGGCAGGGGAGAACGGAAUUCCCGGUGUAGCGGUGAAAUGCGCAGAUAUCAGGAGGAACACCGGUGGCGAAGGCGGUUCUCUGGGCCUGUACUGACGCUGAGGAGCGAAAGCGUGGGGAGCGAACAGG